AUGCAGAUAAUUAUUAAGAGCAUGGAGCUUAUUCGUGGACCACGAGCAUUCGAGCAAUCAAUGGCCGCAGGCUUAGCCGAUGUAGUACAGGGGGUCAGGCAGCUUGAAGGUACGAGCUCCCUCUGGCGCGCCAAGGAGGUCGCUCCACUGGUCGCCGAUGUUGCCAACGAUGACGUACCCGGCGUCCUGCAGCUUCUUCCUCUCGGCGGACUUGUAGGAUAUCGCGGAGCCAUGGAACCCGGGCUGCUUGAGCGUCAGGUUCAUCCACCCGGAGAUGCCCUGGCUGCGGAGGUUGGCCACGGUGAUCGCCCUCUUGUCUUCCGUCCGGCCUGUGAUGAACACCGGCUUGAUGCCGACCUUGAGCAGCUUGUAGUACAGCCGCUUACUCUCCGGCAGCGCCGGCGCGGUCCCCUCCAGCACGUACGCGUCGAAGCUCGUCGCGUUGUAUGGCCUAGCCCUGCGCGUGUGUCCAAAGCCGUGCGUGGCGUAGUAAGGGAGGUUGGAGAGCGUGGUCUCGUCGAUGUCGAAGACCCACACCUCCUUGCCGUUGCCAGCGAGCUUGAGGCUGUCGACGUAGGCAAUGGCCUGGUCGAUGACGACCUUGGAGUCGCGCCGGAAGUGGCUGCCGAGCAUGUAGUGCCCCACGUAGCCCUCGCAGUUGGCAGGGACAGUCUUCCAGUCACGCACGUUGUACGCCUCCACGCCUAG
This 708-nucleotide ribosomal RNA is filed under the name Triticum aestivum (bread wheat). RNAcentral's name for it is "partial small subunit ribosomal RNA". The record is from RNAcentral. Lineage: Eukaryota; Viridiplantae; Streptophyta; Magnoliopsida; Poales; Poaceae.